UGACUUUUGUAAAGAGGAGAGAGAGAAAGGCUGCCCUCAGGACCUCGGGGUGGCCUCCUGUGGCCUGUCCCUUCCGGGGGGCACAACACAC
RNAcentral lists this small nucleolar RNA (91 nucleotides) under Echinops telfairi (small Madagascar hedgehog). RNAcentral's name for it is "Small nucleolar RNA SNORA64/SNORA10 family (ENSETEG00000025985.1)". It matches the Rfam family "Small nucleolar RNA SNORA64/SNORA10 family", at positions 39 to 133 of the family's 133-position model. From Rfam's summary of the family: This family belongs to the H/ACA class of small nucleolar RNAs (snoRNAs) which act as guides in the the modification of uridines to pseudouridines. This family includes the human snoRNAs U64 and ACA10 and mouse MBI-29. The record is from RNAcentral. Lineage: Eukaryota; Metazoa; Chordata; Mammalia; Afrosoricida; Tenrecidae.